This 421-nucleotide ribosomal RNA is filed under the name uncultured bacterium. RNAcentral describes it as "partial 16S ribosomal RNA". It matches the Rfam family "Bacterial small subunit ribosomal RNA", at positions 360 to 773 of the family's 1533-position model. The record is from RNAcentral.
AAUUUUGGACCAUGGGGUCAACCCUGAUCCAGCCAGCCCGCGUGUGCGAUGAAGGCCUUCGGGUUNUCAAGCACUUUUGGCAGGGANGAAAAGGCGCGGGCUAAUACACGGCGCCGCUGACGGUACCUGCAGAAUAAGCACCGGCUAACUACGUGCCAACAGCCGCGGUAAUACGUAGGGUGCAAGCGUUAAUCGGAAUUACUGGGCGUAAAGCGUGCGCAGGCGGUUCGGCAAGAAGGAUGUGAAAUCCCGGGGCUUAACCUCGGAACUGCAUUCUUAACUGCCGGGCUAGAGUAUGUCAGAGGGGGGUAGAAUUCCACGUGUAGCAGUGAAAUGCGUAGAGAUGUGGAGGAAUACCGAUGGCGAAGGCAGCCCCCUGGGAUGAUACUGACGCUCAUGCACGAAAGCGUGGGGAGCAAAC